This 257-nucleotide long non-coding RNA is filed under the name Gossypium raimondii (Peruvian cotton). Its description in RNAcentral is "long non-coding RNA (GRAI_LNC009299)". The record is from RNAcentral. Lineage: Eukaryota; Viridiplantae; Streptophyta; Magnoliopsida; Malvales; Malvaceae.
UAGGCUGAAACAAGAAAAAUAAAAAUCAAAGUAUCUGUGGCGUUUUUGGGGGGUAGAAUGAACAAAUGAUCGAAAAUAAUAAGAGAUGAAAGCAACAUAAAACUCGCAAGACUUUUCAGUUCUUUCUUUUUCUUUUUUACUUUUCAUUUUUUUUGAGUUGACGUAAGUUUUUUUUCUUUUAACACUUCAAAUACAAUAUAAUGAAUUCAAGAAGAAUAAAAUACAACUUGAUUUUUUUUGAUUUUUUAUUUUUUUUC